GAACGCACCUUGCGCCCCUUGGCUAUUCCGAGGGGCAUGCCUGUUUGAGUAUCAUGAACACCUCAACUCUCAUGGUUUGCCAUGAUGAGCUUGGAUUUUGGGGGUUUUGCCGGCCUGUGGUCAGCUCCUCUCAAAUGGAUCAGCUUACCAGUAUUUGGUGGCGUCACAGGUGUGAUAACUAUCUACGCUUGUGGUUGUCUGCCGAGUAACCUUUGGUGACAGAGGUUUGCUGGAGCUUAUAAAUGUCUUUCCUCAGUGAAGACAGCUUUUUGACCGUUCGAUCUCAAAUCAGGUAGGACUACCCGCUGAACUUAAG
This 316-nucleotide unclassified non-coding RNA is filed under the name uncultured Thelephoraceae. RNAcentral's name for it is "sequence contains 5.8S rRNA gene". The record is from RNAcentral. Lineage: Eukaryota; Fungi; Basidiomycota; Agaricomycetes; Thelephorales; Thelephoraceae.